Molecule: long non-coding RNA, 2329 nt
Organism: Carcharodon carcharias (great white shark)
Lineage: Eukaryota; Metazoa; Chordata; Chondrichthyes; Lamniformes; Lamnidae
Exons: 3
Source: RefSeq, a predicted model, not a curated record
AGAGUCAUUCAGUGCGUUCACCAGUGAUCUGAGCAGACACUAGGAUGCUGAGACUCUUCCUAACUGUGUCUGUCCUCUUCUGGCAGCAACUUGCUGCACAGGAUGAGGUGGACAACUUCUGUUAUGAAAAUAACUGCAUUGAGCCCGCAGAAGUCAUUCAACACAAGAAUUAUGAAGAGGAAGAACUCCAACACUUUCAAUGGGUUUAAACAAUGGUUCAUGGAAUGGAUAUGAAUCGUGCAAUAGAGACCGGCCUGGACAGACUUUUCAAUUAUUCACAUUUCUCUAAUGCUGCAGGGUUUUUGACCAGCAAGUUGAUGUACAACAAUAUGAAAAACUUGUGACUGAAUUCCGGCAGGACUUGGAACAAGACAAUCAACACUUUGAUCCGAGAUUUAUCAUUGCUUUUUUUUAAACACACAUGGGCUCAUGCAAAUAGGUUUUAGAAAGAUAGUAAAUCCUCAUGGGUAGGUUUUGUUACCUCAAUAGACAUCGAACAGUGAGAUGUGCUUAACUCUAUUCUUAAACUGAUUGAACCUUCCACUAAUUACACAUUGGGUUUAUUCUGGAGUACUGUGCAAAUUUCUGGUCUCCUUUCCUAAGGAAGGAUAUAUUUACCUUAGAGGGAAUGCAAUGACUGUUUAUUAGACAGAUUACAUAUAUGUGCCGUUAUUGGGGUUAUGAACAAUUCCACCAACAACACAUUCAGCACUGAAACCCUGUUUAGAAUAUUGCCCUCUACUGAUAGAUAACUCUAACUUCCACACACACUGCUGCAUUUACUCUUCAUUCAAAAUUAUACGAACAUGUUAGCAUCAACAGUGAGCAUUCCUUCCCAUUUACAUACACUGGUCCCUUUAGUUGUUUUGCUCAGUGAUUCCAAACAAUGGCUCUUUCCAGGUGUCCAGCUCAAUGUCUCCCCACACUAUCCUUUGACAGAGAGAUCAUGGUUCUCACCAGGGGCUGUACCUCCUUGUCUUUCCCAAAGUCAAAUAAAACAGAGGCUCUUCAAUCCUGCUCCACCAUUCGGUAAGAUCAUGGCUGAUCUUCUACCUCAAUUCCACCUUCCCACACUAUCACUCGAGUGUGUAAUCUGUCUAAUAAACAGGCAUUGCAGUCCCUUUAAGGAAAGUUCAUCCAACCUUCGGUAAGGAGGCCAAAACUAUGGGUGUGGUGUCACCUAUAUAAUUGAAGUCAAAUUUAUUUCUCUUUACUAUCUUUGUAAUAAAGGCUAAGAUACCAUUUGCUUUCCUAAUUGCUUGUUGUAACUGCAUAUUACCUUUUUAUGCUUCAUGUGUAAAGACACCCAAGCCCCUCUGAAUAACAACAUUUUUCAGUCACUCACCCAUGCAAAAUAUUCCACUUUUAUGUUUUUCCUAUAUUUGACUGACUUCACACGUCCCCAAAUUAUAUUCUGUCUGCCACAUUCUUACCCAUUCACUUAAUCAACCAAAUAUGGAGAAACCACAUGGUCUUCUACCCACACGUUAACCAGACAUGAGGAUCCAGCCUUGGCAGAUCUGACUGUCCCUGACAGAGGAGCUCUGACUGCUGCUGUUGCUUUUCAUGUUGUUUAUAAUUAGGUUCCUCCUUCAAUUCCAAAUUAUUUGCUCAUGUUGCAGGUUCAUUUCUGACCAACCAACUCUGUGGGCAGCAAUGGUGAAAUGAGUCUAACAUCUCCACACUGCACAUACACAGGCCUAAUCCCAGUUGGACAUGGGCAGUGGGCUCUCCAUUGGGGAACAGGGAUUCAUCACUGCAGUAAUUUGCCUUUUCUGUAAUCUUGCUUUAAAUGAAUCAUGAACAGACUGACAUUGAGGUGGUCCUAGUGACUGACAUAGUUCUAGGAUGUCUAUCUUGAUACAGUGAUGAAUUAUCUUUAUGUUUAUCAAAGUCAUCCUGAUCAGAAUGUUUAAAGUUGAAGCAAAAAGAGCUAAUUGAAAAUGGGAUGUGUUGCAGAGCAGAGAGAAUUGAAGUUGUUACGAAUGAAAUUAUGGAGUGGUCAGAUUUGGCAUUGUACCUGAGCUCAGGGAGGGAGCAUGAGAAUGGCAGCUUGCAUUGAGGCCCAGGACUGGCACGAGUGACUCAGUGUUGGAGGGCUAUGUGGAGUUACAGAGUGUGUGAGGUGCUCGGUAAUAGAAACACCCAGAGACACCAAGAAUUAAAGUGUAUGAGCAACAUGGCUCCUUUUAUUAAAACAUAUUCUUCAGGCUCUCCACUUCUUCCUGCAGACUCCCUCUGUGGGUAUACUUCUGUCAGGAAGCUUCCAGUGAACAAUACAUACAGAUGGCAAUUUCAAAACAGAAAUCAAACACAGAAAGAUCCAAGA